GUGAUAGUAGAGAGGGCAGGAGGCCAGAGAGGGGAUGGGGUAAAAAGAGAGUCACAGAGACAGGGUAGAAAGGACGAGAAGGAGGGAAAACGACCUGCAUCUUGCUGAUA
This 110-nucleotide non-coding RNA is filed under the name Corethron pennatum. Lineage: Eukaryota; Bacillariophyta; Corethrophyceae; Corethrales; Corethraceae. The record is from RNAcentral.